This 2104-nucleotide long non-coding RNA is filed under the name Brassica napus (rape). RNAcentral's name for it is "long non-coding RNA (BNAP_LNC000827)". Lineage: Eukaryota; Viridiplantae; Streptophyta; Magnoliopsida; Brassicales; Brassicaceae. The record is from RNAcentral.
UCAUAAUAAAAUUCUGUUUUGUGAGAAGUAGCACACGUCCCUGGAGAUAAAAGGAAAGAGAGAAACGAAACCCUAAGAAGAGGAGGAUCGGGUCGUCGAACCUUUUUUCUGAUCAGAGAAGAGAAGAAGGAAAAGCAAAGAUGAUGAACACUUCUAACGGAACGAUAUCGGGGCCAUCUUCAUCGUCUUCACCGGCUGCGAACCCUCAGGCACCUGGGAUUAAGACUUAUUUCAAGACCCCCGAAGGCAAGUACAAGCUCCACUACGAGAAGACUCAUUCUUCUGGUCUCCUUCACUACGCUCAUGGCAAAACCGUUACUCAGGUUAGUCUAUUCGUUUACGGAUUGCUUCGAUCGAAUCUGAUUUUGGGUUUUUGAUUUCUGAUUCGUUCAAUCGGAAUUUUUUUUAGAGAUUUAGUGAAAUUUUGAAUUGCAAUGCUUAAAGGUUGUAACUUUAUCAAUGGGUUUGAUUAGCAAUGCCUAAAGGUUGUAACUUUGAUCAGUGGGUUUCAUUAGCUUUGCUUAAAGGUUGUAACUUUAUCAAUGGGUUUGAUUAGCAAUGCUUAAAGGUCAGUAACUUUGAUCAAUGGGUUUCAUUAGCAAUGCUUAAAGGUUGUAACUUUAUCAAUGGGUUUUAUUAGCUUUGCUUAAAGGUCGUAACUUUGAUCAAUGGGUUUCAUUAGCAAUGCGUAAAGGUUGUAACUUUGAUCAAUGGGUUUGAUUAGCAAUGCCUAAAGGUUGUAACUUUGAUCAAUGGGUUUGAUUAGCAAUGCCUAAAGGUUGUAACUUUGAUCAAUGGGUUUCAUUAGCAAUGCCUAAAGGUUGUAACUUUGAUCAAUGGGUUUCAUUAGCUUUGCUUAAAGGUUGUAACUUUGAUCAAUGGGUUUCAUUAGCUUUGCUUAAAGGUUGAUUAGCUUUGGUCAAUGGGUUUUCAUUAGCUUUGCUUUCCUUUAGAAUUAUAUAGCUAAUGGAGAGUUUACUUUUUGCGUUGUUAGGUAACUCUAGCUCAGCUUAAGGAAAGAGCUGCUCCUUCGACUCCAACUGGUACUUCUUCGGGUUACAGUGCGAGUAGCGGAUUCCGUUCAGCGACAGCGAGGUUGCUAACCGGGAAUGGGAACCGCGCGCUUAGCUUUGUUGGAGGUAAUGGAGGGGGCAAAAACGUGAGUGCUAGUUCGAGGAUUAGUGGCUCCUUCGCUGCUGCUUCUAACUCCAGCACUUCUAUGAUGACGAAUACGAACUUUGAUGGGAAAGGAACUUACUUGGUAUUCAAUGUGGGUGAUGCUGUUUUUAUUUGUGACUUGAACUCACAGGAAAAGGUAAUUAAUUACUUCUGGUUGUUCUGUUUCUUUUCAAGACUUGGCUGUAGUGUUCUGGUAUUGAGAAUUUUUCAUCUUUUUUUUGAUGUAGGAUCCAGUAAAGUCUAUCCAUUUCAGUAAUUCAAACCCCAUGUGCCAUGCUUUUGAUCCUGAUGCUAAGGAUGGGCAUGACUUACUUAUUGGGCUGAACUCUGGCGAUGGUGAGAAGGAUUUUGAGCUCGGUCUUUUUAACCUCUCAUCUAGAUGCGUUGUACCGUGGAUUGAUAGUUACUGUGUGUGUGUGUUAUUGCAGUGUACACUGUAUCGCUGAGACAACAACUACAGGACGUCUCUAAGAAGCUUGUUGCAUCACGAUCGUGAAGGAGAGCUUCAUAAGAGCAGACAUUAUCUAUGUACCACGGACGCAAAAUUCAAAGGCGGAUAGUCUGGCACGCAGUGCUAGGAAGCAAUCGUCUUUUGUCGUUCACAUGGAUUCAGCUCACCCGGUUUGGUUCACAGAGUCAACAUGAGUCUGUAAUGCUGAUGACAAAAAAAAAAAAAAAAAAAAGAGGAUCGGGUCGUCGAACCUUUUUUCUGAUCAGAGAAGAGAAGAAGGAAAAGCAAAGAUGAUGAACACUUCUAACGGAACGAUAUCGGGGCCAUCUUCAUCGUCUUCACCGGCUGCGAACCCUCAGGCACCUGGGAUUAAGACUUAUUUCAAGACCCCCGAAGGCAAGUACAAGCUCCACUACGAGAAGACUCAUUCUUCUGGUCUCCUUCACUACGCUCAUGGCAAAACCGUUACUCAGG